AACGAACGCUGGCGGCGUGCCUAAUACAUGCAAGUCGAGCGGACUUGAAGGAGCUUGCUCCUGAUAGUUAGCGGCGGACGGGUGAGUAACACGUGGCAACCUGCCUGUAAGACUGGGAUAACUUCGGGAAACCGGAGCUAAUACCGGAUAGGUUCUUCUCUCGCAUGAGAGAAGAUGGAAAGACGGUUUCGGCUGUCACUUACAGAUGGGCCCGCGGCGCAUUAGCUAGUUGGUGGGGUAAUGGCCUACCAAGGCAACGAUGCGUAGCCGACCUGAGAGGGUGAUCGGCCACACGGGGACUGAGACACGGCCCAGAGUCCUACGGGAGGCAGCAGUAGGGAAUCUUCCGCAAUGGACGAAAGUCUGACGGAGCAACGCCGCGUGAGUGAAGAAGGUUUUCGGAUCGUAAAACUCUGUUGUCAGGGAAGAACAAGUACCAUAGUAACUGAUGGUACCUUGACGGUACCUGACCAGAAAGCCACGGCUAACUACGUGCCAGCCGCCGCCGUAA
This 511-nucleotide ribosomal RNA is filed under the name uncultured bacterium. RNAcentral describes it as "partial 16S ribosomal RNA". It matches the Rfam family "Bacterial small subunit ribosomal RNA", at positions 29 to 523 of the family's 1533-position model. The record is from RNAcentral.